AUUGAACGCUGGCGGAAUGCUUUACACAUGCAAGUCGAGCGGCAGCGCGGGGGCAACCCUGGCGGCGAGCGGCGAACGGGUGAGUAAUGUAUCGGAACGUACCCAGUCGUGGGGGAUAACUAUCCGAAAGGAUAGCUAAUACCGCAUACGACCUGAGGGUGAAAGCGGGGGACCGUAAGGCCUCGCGCGAUUGGAGCGGCCGAUAUCGGAUUAGCUAGUUGGUGAGGUAAAGGCUCACCAAGGCGACGAUCCGUAGCUGGUCUGAGAGGACGACCAGCCACACUGGAACUGAGACACGGUCCAGACUCCUACGGGAGGCAGCAGUGGGGGAAUUUUGGACAAUGGGGGGCAACCCUGAUCCAGCCAUUCCGCGUGAGUGAAGAAGGCCUCGGUUGUAAGUACGUCUUCUAGCAUCGACGAAG
Molecule: ribosomal RNA, 422 nt
Filed under: uncultured bacterium
Lineage: Bacteria
Description: bacterial SSU rRNA
Rfam family: Bacterial small subunit ribosomal RNA
Source: RNAcentral